CCCUGGCAGUCAGAGGCGAUGAAGGACGUGCUAAUCUGCGAUAAGCGUCGGUGAGGUGAUAUGAACCGUUAUAACCGGCGAUUUCCGAAUGGGGAAACCCAGUGUGUUUCGACACACUAUCAUUAACUGAAUCCAUAGGUUAAUGAGGCGAACCGGGGGAACUGAAACAUCUAAGUACCCCGAGGAAAAGAAAUCAACCGAGAUUCCCCCAGUAGCGGCGAGCGAACGGGGAGGAGCCCAGAGCCUGAAUCAGUGUGUGUGUUAGUGGAAGCGUCUGGAAAGGCGCGCGAUACAGGGUGACAGCCCCGUACACAAAAAUGCACAUAUUGUGAGCUCGAUGAGUAGGGCGGGACACGUGGUAUCCUGUCUGAAUAUGGGGGGACCAUCCUCCAAGGCUAAAUACUCCUGACUGACCGAUAGUGAACCAGUACCGUGAGGGAAAGGCGAAAAGAACCCCGGCGAGGGGAGUGAAAAAGAACCUGAAACCGUGUACGUACAAGCAGUGGGAGCCUCUUAAUGGGGUGACUGCGUACCUUUUGUAUAAUGGGUCAGCGACUUAUAUUCUGUAGCAAGGUUAACCGAAUAGGGGAGCCGAAGGGAAACCGAGUCUUAACUGGGCGUUAAGUUGCAGGGUAUAGACCCGAAACCCGGUGAUCUAGCCAUGGGCAGGUUGAAGGUUGGGUAACACUAACUGGAGGACCGAACCGACUAAUGUUGAAAAAUUAGCGGAUGACUUGUGGCUGGGGGUGAAAGGCCAAUCAAACCGGGAGAUAGCUGGUUCUCCCCGAAAGCUAUUUAGGUAGCGCCUCGUGAAUUCAUCUCCGGGGGUAGAGCACUGUUUCGGCAAGGGGGUCAUCCCGACUUACCAACCCGAUGCAAACUGCGAAUACCGGAGAAUGUUAUCACGGGAGACACACGGCGGGUGCUAACGUCCGUCGUGAAGAGGGAAACAACCCAGACCGCCAGCUAAGGUCCCAAAGUCAUGGUUAAGUGGGAAACGAUGUGGGAAGGCCCAGACAGCCAGGAUGUUGGCUUAGAAGCAGCCAUCAUUUAAAGAAAGCGUAAUAGCUCACUGGUCGAGUCGGCCUGCGCGGAAGAUGUAACGGGGCUAAACCAUGCACCGAAGCUGCGGCAGCGACACUAUGUGUUGUUGGGUAGGGGAGCG
Molecule: ribosomal RNA, 1165 nt
Filed under: Escherichia coli
Lineage: Bacteria; Pseudomonadati; Pseudomonadota; Gammaproteobacteria; Enterobacterales; Enterobacteriaceae
Also listed under: 1 other name
Description: partial 23S ribosomal RNA
Rfam family: Bacterial large subunit ribosomal RNA
Source: RNAcentral